RNAcentral lists this ribosomal RNA (500 nucleotides) under Brevundimonas sp. WH011. RNAcentral's name for it is "bacterial SSU rRNA". It matches the Rfam family "Bacterial small subunit ribosomal RNA", at positions 111 to 647 of the family's 1533-position model. The record is from RNAcentral. Lineage: Bacteria; Pseudomonadati; Pseudomonadota; Alphaproteobacteria; Caulobacterales; Caulobacteraceae.
UAACACGUGGGAACGUGCCUUUAGGUCGGAAUAACUCAGGGAAACUUGUGCUAAUACCGAAUGUGCCCUUCGGGGGAAAGAUUUAUCGCCUUUAGAGCGGCCCGCGUCUGAUUAGCUAGUUGGUGAGGUAAAGGCUCACCAAGGCGACGAUCAGUAGCUGGUCUGAGAGGAUGAUCAGCCACAUUGGGACUGAGACACGGCCCAAACUCCUACGGGAGGCAGCAGUGGGGAAUCUUGCGCAAUGGGCGAAAGCCUGACGCAGCCAUGCCGCGUGAAUGAUGAAGGUCUUAGGAUUGUAAAAUUCUUUCACCGGGGACGAUAAUGACGGUACCCGGAGAAGAAGCCCCGGCUAACUUCGUGCCAGCAGCCGCGGUAAUACGAAGGGGGCUAGCGUUGCUCGGAAUUACUGGGCGUAAAGGGAGCGUAGGCGGACAUUUAAGUCAGGGGUGAAAUCCCGGGGCUCAACCUCGGAAUUGCCUUUGAUACUGGGUGUCUUGAGU